This 515-nucleotide ribosomal RNA is filed under the name uncultured bacterium. RNAcentral describes it as "partial 16S ribosomal RNA". It matches the Rfam family "Bacterial small subunit ribosomal RNA", at positions 28 to 523 of the family's 1533-position model. The record is from RNAcentral.
GACGAACGCUGGCGGCGUGCCUAAUACAUGCAAGUCGAGCGGACUUUCAAGAAGCUUGCUUUUUGAAAGUUAGCGGCGGACGGGUGAGUAACACGUGGGCAACCUGCCUGUAAGACGGGGAUAACUCCGGGAAACCGGGGCUAAUACCGGAUAAUAUCUUUCUUCGCAUGAAGGAAGGUUGAAAGGCGGCGCAAGCUGCCGCUUGCAGAUGGGCCCGCGGCGCAUUAGCUAGUUGGUGAGGUAACGGCUCACCAAGGCGACGAUGCGUAGCCGACCUGAGAGGGUGAUCAGCCACACUGGGACUGAGACACGGCCCAGACUCCUGCGGGAGGCAGCAGUAGGGAAUCUUCCGCAAUGGACGAAAGUCUGACGGAGCAACGCCGCGUGAGCGAAGAAGGUCUUCGGAUCGUAAAGCUCUGUUGUCAGGGAAGAACAAGUACCGUUCGAAUAGGGCGGUACCUUGACGGUACCUGACCAGAAAGCCACGGCUAACUACGUGCCAGCAGCCGCAGUAA